This 208-nucleotide ribosomal RNA is filed under the name uncultured bacterium. RNAcentral describes it as "partial 16S ribosomal RNA". It matches the Rfam family "Bacterial small subunit ribosomal RNA", at positions 567 to 774 of the family's 1533-position model. The record is from RNAcentral.
GCGCGUAGGCGGUGUACACAGUCAGGCGUGAAAUUCCCGGGCUCAACCUGGGGGCUGCGCUUGAUACAUGUGCGCUUGAGUUCGGAAGAGGGUCGUGGAAUUCCCAGUGUAGAGGUGAAAUUCGUAGAUAUUGGGAAGAACACCGGUGGCGAAGGCGGCGACCUGGUCCGAUACUGACGCUGAGGCGCGAAAGCGUGGGGAGCAAACA